UGGGGCUGCUAUCAGUGUUUUAUGGCACUUUAAUCCAUAUCCACCUUGUGUGCAAUGUCAUCUCACUGGGGUUACGUUUGUAAAAUUUCGUGAUCCGUUUGGGAUUUAUAUCUACUCAGAACUUUAGUCAUUUUGUCUGAAACAUAUUAUGAAUAACUUAAUUCAAAAUACAACUUUCAACAACGGAUCUCUUGGCUCUCGCAUCGAUGAAGAACGCAGCGAAAUGCGAUACGUAAUGUGAAUUGCAGAAUUCAGUGAAUCAUCGAAUCUUUGAACGCAUAUUGCGCUCUCUGGUAUUCCGGAGAGCAUGCUUGUUUGAGUAUCAGUAAACACCUCAACUCCCUUUCUUCUUGAAAUGGAGCUGGACUUGAGUGAUCCCAACGCUUUAUUCAUAAAGUGGCGGGUUACUUGAAAUGCAGGUGCAGCUGGACUUUUCUCUGAGCUAUAAGCAUAUCUAUUUAGUCUGCCUCAAAAACAGAUUAUUACCUUUGCUGCAGCUAACAUAAAGGAGAUUAGUUCUUGUGCUGACUGAUGCAGGAUUCACAAAGACCGCUUCGGCUGUCUUUGUAAACUCGAUCUCAAAUCAAGUAAGACUACCCGCUGAACUUAAGCAUACA
This 617-nucleotide ribosomal RNA is filed under the name fungal sp. TZ-2015b. RNAcentral's name for it is "eukaryotic LSU rRNA". The stretch from base 172 to 325 matches the Rfam family "5.8S ribosomal RNA". The record is from RNAcentral. Lineage: Eukaryota; Fungi.